UACGGAGGGUGCAAGCGUUAUCCGGAUUCACUGGGUUUAAAGGGUGCGUAGGCGGGCAUGUAAGUCCGUGGUGAAAUCUCUGAGCUUAACUCAGAAACUGCCAUGGAUACUAUAUGUCUUGAAUAUUGUGGAGGUGAGCGGAAUAUGUCAUGUAGCGGUGAAAUGCUUAGAUAUGACAUAGAACACCCAUUGCGAAGGCAGCUCACUACACAAUGAUUGACGCUGAGGCACGAAAGCGUGGGGAGCGAACAGG
Molecule: ribosomal RNA, 253 nt
Filed under: uncultured bacterium
Lineage: Bacteria
Description: partial 16S ribosomal RNA
Rfam family: Bacterial small subunit ribosomal RNA
Source: RNAcentral